CCAAACUUGGUCAUUUAGAGGAAGUAAAAGUCGUAACAAGGUUUCCGUAGGUGAACCUGCGGAAGGAUCAUUAUUGAUUUUUAAAGAGGAAGUGAGCUUUUGGAGUUGUGCUGGCCUUGAAGGGCAUGUGCACACUUUGAAGUUUCACUUUGUCUUACAUUUCACACCAUGUGCAUCUUUUUGGUAGGUCUUUCGAGAUCCUAUGUAUUUUUAUUAUACUCCAAUGUAUGUCUAUAGAAUGUCUUUUAAUUCUUAUCAUUGCAUAAGUUACUUUUGAAAGUGAUUGAUGCAAGUAAGUUGUUACAUACAACUUUCAGCAAUGGAUCUCUUGGCUCUCGCAUCGAUGAAGAACGCAGC
RNAcentral lists this unclassified non-coding RNA (357 nucleotides) under uncultured fungus. RNAcentral's name for it is "partial contains small subunit ribosomal RNA, internal transcribed spacer 1, and 5.8S ribosomal RNA". The stretch from base 1 to 73 matches the Rfam family "Eukaryotic small subunit ribosomal RNA", at positions 1759 to 1831 of the family's 1831-position model. The record is from RNAcentral. Lineage: Eukaryota; Fungi.